This 64-nucleotide transfer RNA is filed under the name Trichogramma japonicum. RNAcentral's name for it is "tRNA-Ser". Lineage: Eukaryota; Metazoa; Arthropoda; Insecta; Hymenoptera; Trichogrammatidae. The record is from RNAcentral.
AAUUAUUUAACUAUACCAAGUUUAUGUUUUGAAAACAUAAAAAAGAAUUUUAUUCUAAUAAUUU